Molecule: long non-coding RNA, 169 nt
Organism: Papaver somniferum (opium poppy)
Lineage: Eukaryota; Viridiplantae; Streptophyta; Magnoliopsida; Ranunculales; Papaveraceae
Exons: 3
Source: RefSeq, a predicted model, not a curated record
GAAGGAAGAUGUACGAGAAUUAAUUUACCGAGAGAUAUUGGAGUAUCAUCCCCAAAUGCUUCAGGAAUACCUGAAUGGUGCAGAUCAAACUAGCUUCCUGUACCCAAGUGGAGUUGAUCGUUUCAAACGACAGUUUGCUCAUUUGGAGGAGCAUUAUGGUAAAAGCGGC